CAAAACUUUCAACAACGGAUCUCUUGGUUU
Molecule: ribosomal RNA, 30 nt
Filed under: unidentified
Description: partial 5.8S ribosomal RNA
Source: RNAcentral